GAUGAACGCUAGCUACAGGCUUAACACAUGCAAGUCGAGGGGCAGCAUGGUCGAAGCUUGCUUCGACUGAUGGCGACCGGCGCACGGGUGCGUAACGCGUAUCGAACCUGCCCUAUACACGGGGAUAGCCUUGCGAAAGUAAGAUUAAUACCCGAUGCCAAAUUGAGAUCGCAUGAUUUUGAUUUGAAAGAAAUUCGGUAUAGGGAUGGCGAUGCGUCUGAUUAGGUAGAUGGCGGGGUAACGGCCCACCAUGCCGACGAUCAGUAGGGGUUCUGAGAGGAAGGUCCCCCCACAUUGGAACUGAGACACGGUCCAAAACUCCUACGGGAGCAGCAG
This 336-nucleotide ribosomal RNA is filed under the name uncultured bacterium. RNAcentral's name for it is "bacterial SSU rRNA". It matches the Rfam family "Bacterial small subunit ribosomal RNA", at positions 28 to 354 of the family's 1533-position model. The record is from RNAcentral.